RNAcentral lists this ribosomal RNA (253 nucleotides) under uncultured bacterium. RNAcentral's name for it is "partial 16S ribosomal RNA". It matches the Rfam family "Bacterial small subunit ribosomal RNA", at positions 524 to 776 of the family's 1533-position model. The record is from RNAcentral.
UACAGAGGGUGCAAGCGUUGUUCAGAAUUAUUGGGCGUAAAGCGCACGUAGGCGGUUCGUUAUGUCGGAUGUGAAAGCCCUCGGCUUAACCGGGGAAGUGCAUCCGAAACUGGCGAGCUUGAGUACUAAAGAGGGUCGCGGAAUUCCCGGUGUAGAGGUGAAAUUCGUAGAUAUCGGGAGGAACACCAGCGGCGAAGGCGGCGACCUGGGUAGAUACUGACGCUGAGGUGCGAAAGCGUGGGGAGCAAACAGG